GAGGGAGGCAUCCCCGAGUUUUCCAUUGAUAAACCGAUUGUCGCCGAACAAGAGACGGCAGCAUCAUCUUGUGGUUCCUUCUCUCAGCAGCGGCGAUACUGCUCAUAAUCGUCCUUCUUGUCACGAUGUUCGUGAUGCUGAACACCGGU
Dermacentor silvarum is the source of this 149-nucleotide long non-coding RNA. RefSeq lists it as uncharacterized. The transcript has 3 exons. The record is from RefSeq and is a predicted model, not a curated record. Lineage: Eukaryota; Metazoa; Arthropoda; Arachnida; Ixodida; Ixodidae.